This 799-nucleotide ribosomal RNA is filed under the name Bacillus sp. 'Mali 51'. RNAcentral describes it as "bacterial SSU rRNA". It matches the Rfam family "Bacterial small subunit ribosomal RNA", at positions 1 to 777 of the family's 1533-position model. The record is from RNAcentral. Lineage: Bacteria; Bacillati; Bacillota; Bacilli; Caryophanales; Bacillaceae.
AUUCGUCGACAACAGAGUUUGAUCCUGGCUCAGGACGAACGCUGGCGGCGUGCCUAAUACAUGCAAGUCGAGCGAAUCGGAGGGAGCUUGCUCCCAAAGAUUAGCGGCGGACGGGUGAGUAACACGUGGGCAACCUGCCUGUAAGACUGGGAUAACUUCGGGAAACCGGAGCUAAUACCGGAUAAUCCUUUUCCUCUCAUGAGGAAAAGCUGAAAGACGGUUUCGGCUGUCACUUACAGAUGGGCCCGCGGCGCAUUAGCUAGUUGGUGAGGUAACGGCUCACCAAGGCAACGAUGCGUAGCCGACCUGAGAGGGUGAUCGGCCACACUGGGACUGAGACACGGCCCAGACUCCUACGGGAGGCAGCAGUAGGGAAUCUUCCGCAAUGGACGAAAGUCUGACGGAGCAACGCCGCGUGAGCGAAGAAGGCCUUCGGGUCGUAAAGCUCUGUUGUCAGGGAAGAACAAGUGCCGGAGUAACUGCCGGCACCUUGACGGUACCUGACCAGAAAGCCACGGCUAACUACGUGCCAGCAGCCGCGGUAAUACGUAGGUGGCAAGCGUUGUCCGGAAUUAUUGGGCGUAAAGCGCGCGCAGGCGGUCCUUUAAGUCUGAUGUGAAAGCCCACGGCUCAACCGUGGAGGGUCAUUGGAAACUGGGGGACUUGAGUGCAGAAGAGGAGAGUGGAAUUCCACGUGUAGCGGUGAAAUGCGUAGAGAUGUGGAGGAACACCAGUGGCGAAGGCGACUCUCUGGUCUGUAACUGACGCUGAGGCGCGAAAGUGUGGGGAGCGAACAGGA